AUGACUUUCACCUACGGCGAUAGCCCUGGCAAGAGCGGCACCUCGACGGCCACGGCGACCACGGACGCAUCCCUGACAAGAGCGGUGCCCGUUCGUGUCUGGAUGGUCCACGUGGGCGUCACGGUGGCUUCUUCGACGAUGGCUGCCCUGAUGAAUGCCGCCGCGGUGAUGGCACCUUCAUUGAUCGCGGCAGACCUGGCGAGAGGCCCCGCAGUCGCUCCGACCGAGGCAGUCCCGCCGGUCGCCGCCGCGAAACCUGUGGAAAUCAUCAACUUGACGAGCUCCUCUGAAAACUUCUGA
This 300-nucleotide ribosomal RNA is filed under the name Triticum aestivum (bread wheat). RNAcentral describes it as "partial small subunit ribosomal RNA". Lineage: Eukaryota; Viridiplantae; Streptophyta; Magnoliopsida; Poales; Poaceae. The record is from RNAcentral.